Molecule: ribosomal RNA, 387 nt
Filed under: uncultured bacterium
Lineage: Bacteria
Description: bacterial SSU rRNA
Rfam family: Bacterial small subunit ribosomal RNA
Source: RNAcentral
AUUGAACGCUGGCGGCAUGCCUUACACAUGCAAGUCGAACGGUAACGGGCCUUCGGGUGCCGACGAGUGGCGAACGGGUGAGUAAUGUAUCGGAACGUACCUUUCAGUGGGGGGAUAACGUAGCGAAAGUUACGCUAAUACCGCAUAUUCUGUGAGCAGGAAAGCAGGGGAUCGCAAGACCUUGCGCUGAUUGAGCGGCCGAUAUCAGAUUAGCUAGUUGGUGAGGUAAAGGCUCACCAAGGCGACGAUCUGUAGCGGGUCUGAGAGGAUGAUCCGCCACACUGGAACUGAGACACGGUCCAGACUCCUACGGGAGGCAGCAGUGGGGAAUUUUGGACAAUGGGGGCAACCCUGAUCCAGCCAUGCCGCGUGAGUGAAGAAGGCCUC